AUUAAAUGAGAGUUUGAUCCUGGCUCAGGACGAACGCUGGCGGCGUGCCUAAUACAUGCAAGUAGAACGCUGAAGACUUUAGCUUGCUAAAGUUGGAAGAGUUGCGAACGGGUGAGUAACGCGUAGGUAACCUGCCUACUAGCGGGGGAUAACUAUUGGAAACGAUAGCUAAUACCGCAUAACAGCAUUUAAC
RNAcentral lists this ribosomal RNA (193 nucleotides) under Streptococcus equinus. RNAcentral's name for it is "partial 16S rRNA. Bacterial SSU". It matches the Rfam family "Bacterial small subunit ribosomal RNA", at positions 1 to 187 of the family's 1533-position model. Lineage: Bacteria; Bacillati; Bacillota; Bacilli; Lactobacillales; Streptococcaceae. RNAcentral also lists the same sequence under 1 other name. The record is from RNAcentral.